This 2246-nucleotide long non-coding RNA is filed under the name Sus scrofa (pig). Its description in RNAcentral is "lncRNA (ENSSSCG00055003913.1)". Lineage: Eukaryota; Metazoa; Chordata; Mammalia; Artiodactyla; Suidae. The record is from RNAcentral.
ACCAAGAUGCAAUUUCAAGGCUAGCAAAUUUAACAACAACAACAAAAAACCUUUGGUAUCAUUUUUUUCCCUUGCACAUGCUCAUAUAUAUCCAACUGUCCCAAAAUAUCAGGUUUUUUUGUUGACUUGUUCAAAUUAAAGCCAAACAAGGAGCAAAAAGCAUAUCUACUUGUGAUGAUAUAUUCCGAUCUUUCAUACUACCGAAACAAUGUUUUGUUCUAUUUUACUAACAGACUUUCCAAAAUCAUGAGUUGACCAUUGCAUUUUAUCAGAGGAUGUGUGAUUUGCUUUUUUUAACCUUUAUUUUCUUCUUUAAUAUUUUAAUGCAGUAAAUUCCUCAAAUAGAUUUUCUAAAGAUAAAUUACCUUUGAGAUAAAAUCAUAUAUAACAGGAAAUGGUCAUUUUUCUUAUUUUUCUUAGUACUUUAUCUUCUAAUUUAUGAGUCAAAUUGCUGGUGAUUUUUCACUUCUCAUGUUAUCUUUUGAUACAGAGGACAACAAAGAAGUCCAAAAAUGAGUUAGAAAUGUUAACCUCAAUAUUUUAUAAGACUGCUUUCAUUCACGUUCCUAAUAAAAAAAUAGAAGUUGGAGUUAAAUUUUAAAAUCUUAUAUCUGUUGUUGAAUUUUCAAAUUUUAGUGAAAUUACCUUAUAUUAAAUGAGAAAUAACAUAUGGUCAAUGUUCACGGGAAAGUCUUGGAUGGGGGUCUGGGGGCAAACUGAUCCAUGGGCCAAAUUUGGCUCAGCACCUAUUUUUAUUAAAAGUUUAAUUGGAAAACACUUAAGCCCCUUCAUUUACACAUUAGAGCUGCAUUCACACUACAGAGGGGGAGUAGUAAUUGCAUCAGACACUACCGUUUGCAAAGUCUAUAUUAUUAAUAUAUUGCCCUUUACAGAAAGUUGGUUGACCUCUGAUACUGAUAAUCAAAAUGCUCAUGCAGAGUCCAAACAUUUAUAAUAACCACUAAGGAGGCUGUAUAUAGGGUUAUUCAGAGAGGUGAAUCGUAUAAUAUCAAAUUAAAUUCCCGCAUAUCUUUUGUGAUAAUUUUACAAUUCUUUUCAUUCCCAGGUUUACACCUAUCUGCACUUUCUGGUCUAUUUUAUUGAGUGAUUAAGAGGCCACAAUUAUCUAUCAAGGCUAAAUGACAAUAUUUUCAAAUGUUUCCAGUUAAGCUUAGAAAUGAUAGUUUCACCAUAAAGGAAGUAAUUUCAUGACAUUCCUGCAAACUGGAAAUCUCUUCAGUAUUUUAUUAUAAGUUCUCAUCUUUGCUUUUCGGCAGAUUAUAAAUGAGUCUCUCAAUUAAGUAUAGUACAUGAAUAUUAGGAAGAAUUUGGCUCAACUAAUCACAAUUAUAGGCUUUCUUUUUAAGAAAAUUCGUUAUAAAAAUUUAGUAUAUUUUUGAGUGAUCUUCUGUGUGUGUGUGUGUGUGUGUGUGUGUGUGUGUGUGCGUGCGCGCGCGCUUAUUAGGGUUGCACCCGCAGCAUUUGGAGGUUUAUAGGCUAGGGAUUGAAUAGGAUCUACAGCUGCAGGACACAACCACGGCCAUACCAUGUCAGAUCCAAGCCAUGUGCAACCUACACCACAGUGCAAUGGCAAUGCCAUAUCCUUAACCCACUGAGCAAGGCCAGGAAUAGAACCCUCAACCUCGUGGUUCCUGGUCAGAUUCAUUUCUGCUGUGCCACAACAGGAACUCCUAUAAUCUUCAUUAUUAUUUCAAAAACCUAGAAGAAAAAAGUACAAUCUUCAAAGACUAAACCAAGAUGAAAUAGAAAAGAUGAAUGCACCAAUCACAAGAACUGAAAUCGAAACUGUUAUUAACAAACUUCCAACAAACAAAGUCCAGGAUCAGAUGGCUUCAGAGGUGAAGUCUAUCAAACAUUUAGAGAAGAGCUAACACCUCUCCUUCUGAAACUAUUUUAAAAAAUUGCAGAGGAAGGGACACUCCCAAACUCAUUCUAUGAGGCCACCGUCACCCUGAUACCAAAACCAGACAACGAUACCACAAAAAAAAAACAAAAAAAAAAACAAAAAAAACUACAGGACAAUUUCACUGAUGAACAUCGAUGCAAAAAUCCUCAACAAAAUAUUAGCAAACCAUAUCCAACAAUACACUACAAGGAUUGUACAUCUUGAUCAAGUGGGAUUUAUCCCAGGGAUGCAAGGGUUCUUCAACAUCCACAAAUCCAUCAGUGUGAUACACCACAUUAACAAACUGAAGAAUAAAAACCAUACGAUCCUCUCAAUAGAU